UUUCCUUUAGAAAAAAUUACAAGUCGUUGGUGAACAGCGGAGGGAUCAUUACCGAGUUUACAACUCCCAAACCCCUGUGAACAUACCCAUUGUUGCCUCGGCGGGAUCGCCCCGGCGCCUCCGGGCCCGGACCCAGGCGCCCGCCGCAGGACCCCAAACUCUUGUUUUCUAUACGAAUCUUCUGAGUGGACACAAGCAAAUAAAUUUAAAACUUUCAACAAACGGAUUCUCUUGGUUCUUGGCAUCGAUGGAAGAACGCAGCGAAAUGCGAUAAGUAAUGUGAAUUGCAGAAUUCAGUGAAUCAUCGAAUCUUUGAAACGCACAUUGCGCCCGGCCAGUAUUCUGCCGGGCAUGCCUGUUCGAGCGUCAUUUUCAACCCUCAAGCCCCCCGGGCUUGGUGUUGGGGAUCGGCCCCGCCCCCUCGCGGCAGGCCGGCCCCGAAAUCUAGUGGCGGUCCCGCUGUAGCUUCCUCUGCGUAGUAGCAACACCUCGCACCGGAACGCGGCGGCGCCCUGCCGUAAAACCCCCAACUUCCAAUGGUUGACCUCGGAUCAGGUAGGAAUACCCGCUGAACUUAAGCAUAUCAAUAAGCGGAGGAAAAGAAACCAACAGGGAUUGCCCUAGUAACGGCGAGUGAAGCGGCAACAGCUCAAAUUUGAAAUCUGGCCCUCGGGUCCGAGUUGUAAUUUGUAGAGGAUGCUUUUGGUGCGGUGCCUUCCGAGUUCCCUGGAACGGGACGCCAUAGAGGGUGAGAGCCCCGUCUGGUCGGAUACCAAUCCUCUGUAAAGCUCCUUCGACGAGUCGAGUAGUUUGGGAAUGCUGCUCUAAAUGGGAGGUAUAUGUCUUCUAAAGCUAAAUACCGGCCAGAGACCGAUAGCGCACAAGUAGAGUGAUCGAAAGAUGAAAAGCACUUUGAAAAGAGGGUUAAACAGUACGUGAAAUUGUUGAAAGGGAAGCGCUUGUGACCAGACUUGGGCAUGGUUAAUCAUCCAGCGUUCUCGCUGGUGCACUUGGCCUGCCCAGGCCAGCAUCAGUUCGGCGCGGGGGAUAAAGGCUUCGGGAAUGUGGCUCCCUCGGGAGUGUUAUAGCCCGGUUGCGCAAUAACCCUGGCGCUGGACUGAGGUUUCGCGCAUCUGCAUGGAUGCUGCAAUAAAGGUCAUCAGCGACCGUUUUUAAAAAACGGAAAA
RNAcentral lists this ribosomal RNA (1187 nucleotides) under Ascomycota sp. L513. RNAcentral's name for it is "eukaryotic LSU rRNA". The stretch from base 542 to 1187 matches the Rfam family "Eukaryotic large subunit ribosomal RNA", at positions 1 to 669 of the family's 3401-position model. The record is from RNAcentral. Lineage: Eukaryota; Fungi; Ascomycota.